Molecule: long non-coding RNA, 2814 nt
Organism: Heterocephalus glaber (naked mole-rat)
Lineage: Eukaryota; Metazoa; Chordata; Mammalia; Rodentia; Bathyergidae
Source: Ensembl
UCCCCAGGAUAUGGUAAUAGAAAUGGGCUGGUAGCCCAGCCAGGGUGAGACCACAGAGACCAAGCUUGAGGACCCAGGAGGGAGGAGGGGGUGUGACUGGGUGGAUGGAAAGCAGGAGCCCUUCGGCUGCCUGUUGUGGGCUGUGGAAGCUGAUCUUUCUCCAGCCCGGCAGCUGUCCCUUCAGUUGGUAGCUUGGCCUGGUCCAGCCUCCAGGACAGCCAGGUGGGGCCCUAACCUCCCACUCCUUUCCCUCCUCCCCACUUAGGUUCCUGCCGUGAGGGAGUUGUUCCCCUGCUGCUCCCCAGGCCUUCCACUUCAGGGAUCUCUUCAGAUAAAGGGGGUGGCUGGGGCCUGAAAUCUCAGCCCUCUCCCCCAGUGCAGAAUGGCAAGGUCCCAGCACUGACCCCAGCCAUCCAGUAGGGACAGGAAGCUCAGAAAGCAGGCUACUUGCCUCUCAGUGGCUAUGGACCUGGAGCAGAAUUGAGUGAGACGGUCCUUGUCUGCCUGCCAGUCUCCCUUCAGACCCUUCUUCACCCACUUCCACUUGUUCACCGCCUUCCCACUGCCAGCCCAGGAAGAGGGUUAGCAAAGGCUGAGCCAGCUCUGACCCAGUCUCCUCUCCCCACGUUUUGGUGGUGACCUCAUGCUGCAGAAAGUAGGGUUCUCUGAGGCCAAUGGCUGUGGGAAUGGGCAAAGAGAGAAGCUCCUGGGUACCCCAAGGCUGCAGCUCCAGCUCCUGGAGGGGUCAGUAAGAAGCAGCCAGGUCAGCCUGGAGUCCAUUGGGGCUCUCUCUGGCCCUACCUACAGCCCUGGGCAGCUUGGGUCAGGACUGAAUAUGGACAUGCAGGGCUCAGGAGCCAGCCAGGGACCUAUGGACAGCUGCGGCCUGCCCUGGGCCCAGGGCCCUUUGGGAGCCCUGACAUGAAGAGAGGCAGCAAUGGCCAGUUGGAAGCCAGUUACGCAGGUGGCCCGGCUCAGGUAACCAGGCUGGCAGCCCAUCUCCAUGGGCUUUUCUGCAGUAGCUCAGGAGUAUCAGGAAGCCAACCCUGACCUUGGAGGACCUCUAAGAGCCCAGGACCCACCAGCAAGAAAAGGUAGUCUAUUAGUGUCCUGUGACUGCUAUAAGUAACAACUGAGUGGCUGAAGACAACAGAAAUUUGUUCUUUCACAGUUCUGGAGGCCAGAAAUCCAAAAUGAAGAGAUUAGUAGGGCAUCAGUCCCUCUGCAGCACUUGGGAAGGAUCCUUCCUUGACUCUCUCAGCUUCUAACUGUUCCAGGCCUCUCUUGGCUUGUGGCCACAUCACUCCAACCUCUGUCUUCUUCACAUGCUUUUCCACUGUGUUUGUCUCACAACUCCAUUUUUCUUUUCUUAGACAAGCACUCUGCCACUGAGCUAUACCCCCAACCCUUUAUUUUUUAUUAUGAGAUAGAGUUUCACUAAGUUGCCCAGGCUGCCUCAAUCUCGCCAUCCUGCUGCCCCAGCCUCCUGAGUGGCUGGGUUCAAGGCAUAUACCACCAUACUUGCCUAUUUUUCUCUUACAAGUAUUAUAGACAGCUAAGUUAGGUAGAAAUAGAGGGAUGAUGACUGUUAGCGUUAUGUAUAUCUAAAAUGUACCAAUAAAGGUUUUGCUUCAAAAAGAAAAAAGAAAGACAUAUGGGCAGUCAGACAGGGAUAGGCCCUCGAGGGAGUGAGUGCAGAAGGUGAGAAAACAUUACAGCUGGCUGGAGGCACAUUUGUUGAAGGCCAGGCCUAUAUGCCUCCCUGAGGGAUAAGCAAUAAAUUAAAGAUUAUACCUGGUCCAAUAAAGUCUAGCACCCAGGUGGGUGACCUCUUGAUCCAUCCCUUCCUAAAAAGGUCUUUGUUCUUUCCAUAUACACGUACUAUGUGACCUGCUUCCCCAUUGGUCAAUAUUACCUAAGUAGCUAUACUUACAAUCUUAUUGGUUAGUCAGAGUUUUGAUUCAUGUAGUACCCACUUUGUGAUUUUGCUCUACAAAACUGACUCUGAGAAGUGGGAUCCAUGAUCACCUACUUUCAGGUCCCCUCCUGUCUCCAGGAGAUCUCUCUCUCAAUAAAUUUAUCCUACUCUUAACCUCUUUUGUUCUUUAGAAUUCAUUCUUCCAUUUUGGGGAAUAUAAACUCGGUGUAUCUGACAUCUAGCAGGUUGAGUUGUAUUAUUCCCCCUAUAUCACAAAGACAUCUGUCAUUGGUUGUGGAGCCUAUCAACCCAAAUUGAUCACAUCUUGAGAUCCUUCAUUUAAUAGCAUUUGCAAAGAUCCCCAGGUUCCACUUACAUUUAUGGGGCCAUCAUCUGAUCUGUAUAAGCAGUGUCCUCUACCCUGUGGGGCUGGCUCACCUCCCUUCCUGUCUUCCCAGAACUUUCGGUGUUCUAGACCUUGUCCCUUACUGACCUAGGGAAUUGCGUGACCCUAGCACCCUUGGGCAGGAGCUGAUAAACAUCAGACUUUAACUGUAGCUUAUUGCCGCAGGAAGAAGAUAAAAGGACUGUCUUUCCCCUUUUCUGAAUUCUGACUGAGUUCCUACUUGCUUUCCCACCCUCCUUUAAGUUGUGCAGUUGCAGGCCGGGACUUUAGCUCAGUGGUUCUGCUACCUGCUUCAAAAGUGCAAGGACCCGAGUUUGAUCCCCGGUACCAGAAAAAAAGAAAAAAAAAAAAAAAGUUGUACAGUUGCAAUUGGCUAACAAGUGAAGCGGAGUAAACAAGAGGGACAAUGAAUGUGUCCUCUUAAAGAUAGCACUAAUCAGGGGACCCCACCCUUAGACUCUGGGAGCCAGAAGUGCUGCUGGUUGGAAGC